Molecule: ribosomal RNA, 229 nt
Filed under: Ctenophora environmental sample
Lineage: Eukaryota; Metazoa; Ctenophora
Description: partial Bacterial large subunit ribosomal RNA
Rfam family: Bacterial large subunit ribosomal RNA
Source: RNAcentral
UUGAGUAGGGGAGCGUCGUGUCAGUGGUGAAGCUGCCGGGUGACUGUGUGGUGGAGUUGAUGCGAGUGAGAAUGCAGGCAUGAGUAGCGAUAAGGCAAGUGAGAACCUUGCCCGCCGAAAGACCAAGGGUUCCUGGGCCAGGCCAGUCCGCCCAGGGUGAGUCGGGACCUAAGGCGAGGCCGACAGGCGUAGUCGAUGGACAACGGGUUGAUAUUCCCGUACCGACGAA